AGACCCGAAACCCGGUGAUCUAGCCAUGGGCAGGUUGAAGGUUGGGUAACACUAACUGGAGGACCGAACCGACUAAUGUUGAAAAAUUAGCGGAUGACCUGUGGCUGGGGGUGAAAGGCCAAUCAAACCGGGAGAUAGCUGGUUCUCCCCGAAAGCUAUUUAGGUAGCGCCUCGUGAAUUCAUCUCCGGGGGUAGAGCACUGUUUCGGCCAGGGGGCCAUCCCGGCUUACCAAUCCGAUGCAAACUGCGAAUACCGGAGAAUGUUAUCACGGGAGACACACGGCGGGUGCUAACGUCCGUCGUGAAGAGGGAAACAACCCAGACCGCCAGCUAAGGUCCCAAAGUCAUGGUUAAGUGGGAAACGAUGUGGGAAGGCCCAGACAGCCAGGAUGUUGGCUUAGAAGCAGCCAUCAUUUAAAGAAAGCGUAAUAGCUCACUGGUCGAGUCGGCCUGCGCGGAAGAUGUAACGGGGCUAAACCAUGCACCGAAGCUGCGGCAGCGACACUGAUGUGUUGUUGGGUAGGGGAGCGUUCUGUAAGCCGUUGAAGGUGU
This 552-nucleotide ribosomal RNA is filed under the name Salmonella enterica. RNAcentral describes it as "partial 23S ribosomal RNA". It matches the Rfam family "Bacterial large subunit ribosomal RNA", at positions 711 to 1259 of the family's 2925-position model. Lineage: Bacteria; Pseudomonadati; Pseudomonadota; Gammaproteobacteria; Enterobacterales; Enterobacteriaceae. The record is from RNAcentral.